Molecule: ribosomal RNA, 465 nt
Filed under: Vreelandella stevensii
Lineage: Bacteria; Pseudomonadati; Pseudomonadota; Gammaproteobacteria; Oceanospirillales; Halomonadaceae
Description: partial 16S ribosomal RNA
Rfam family: Bacterial small subunit ribosomal RNA
Source: RNAcentral
CCUACGGGUGGCAGCAGUGGGGAAUAUUGGACAAUGGGCGAAAGCCUGAUCCAGCCAUGCCGCGUGUGUGAAGAAGGCCUUCGGGUUGUAAAGCACUUUCAGUGGGGAAGAAAGCCUUGGGGCUAAUACCCUCGAGGAAGGACAUCACCCACAGAAGAAGCACCGGCUAACUCCGUGCCAGCAGCCGCGGUAAUACGGAGGGUGCGAGCGUUAAUCGGAAUUACUGGGCGUAAAGCGCGCGUAGGCGGUCUGAUAAGCCGGUUGUGAAAGCCCCGGGCUCAACCUGGGAACGGCAUCCGGAACUGUCAGGCUAGAGUGUGUGAGAGGAAGGUAGAAUUCCCGGUGUAGCGGUGAAAUGCGUAGAGAUCGGGAGGAAUACCAGUGGCGAAGGCGGCCUUCUGGACUGACACUGACGCUGAGGUGCGAAAGCGUGGGUAGCAAACAGGAUUAGAUACCCGGGUAGUC